This 253-nucleotide ribosomal RNA is filed under the name uncultured Streptococcus sp. Its description in RNAcentral is "partial 16S ribosomal RNA". It matches the Rfam family "Bacterial small subunit ribosomal RNA", at positions 1133 to 1382 of the family's 1533-position model. The record is from RNAcentral. Lineage: Bacteria; Bacillati; Bacillota; Bacilli; Lactobacillales; Streptococcaceae.
GGGCACUCUAAGGAGACUGCCGGUGACAAACCGGAGGAAGGUGGGGAUGACGUCAAAUCAUCAUGCCCCUUAUGACCUGGGCUACACACGUGCUACAAUGGUUGGUACAACGAGUUGCGAGUCGGUGACGGCGAGCUAAUCUACUUAAAGCCAAUCUCAGUUCGGAUUGUAGGCUGCAACUCGCCUACAUAGAAGUCGGAAUCGCUAGUAAUCGCGGGAUCAGCACGCCGCGGUGAAUACGUUCCCGGGCCUU